RNAcentral lists this ribosomal RNA (548 nucleotides) under uncultured Paraglomeraceae. RNAcentral's name for it is "bacterial SSU rRNA". It matches the Rfam family "Eukaryotic small subunit ribosomal RNA", at positions 548 to 1098 of the family's 1831-position model. The record is from RNAcentral. Lineage: Eukaryota; Fungi; Glomeromycota; Glomeromycetes; Paraglomerales.
UUGGAGGGCAAGUCUGGUGCCAGCAGCCGCGGUAAUUCCAGCUCCAAUAGCGUAUAUUUAAGUUGUUGCAGUUAAAAAGCUCGUAGUUGGACCUUGGGCCUGGCUGGCCGGUCCGCCUCACCGCGUGUACUGGUCCGGCCGGGCCUUUCCUUCUGGGGAACCUCAUGCCCUUCACUGGGCGUGUUGGGGAACCAGGACUUUUACUUUGAAAAAAUUAGAGUGUUUAAAGCAGGCUAACGCCUGAAUACAUUAGCAUGGAAUAAUGAAAUAGGACGUUCGAUCCUAUUUUGUUGGUUUCUAGGAUUGACGUAAUGAUUAAUAGGGAUAGUUGGGGGCAUUAGUAUUCAAUUGUCGGAGGUGAAAUUCUUGGAUUUAUUGAAGACUAACUACUGCGAAAGCAUUUGCCAAGGAUGUUUUCAUUAAUCAAGAACGAAAGUUAGGGGAUCGAAGACGAUCAGAUACCGUCGUAGUCUUAACCAUAAACUAUGCCGACUAGGGAUCGGAUGAUGUUAAUUUUUUAAUGACUCAUUCGGCGCCUUACGGGAAAC